Molecule: long non-coding RNA, 1819 nt
Organism: Ruditapes philippinarum (Manila clam)
Lineage: Eukaryota; Metazoa; Mollusca; Bivalvia; Venerida; Veneridae
Exons: 3
Source: RefSeq, a predicted model, not a curated record
GAAAGUAGUUCCAUACGGUGUGAAGCAUAAUAUCUGUCGUUGAAAAAAGUCUGUUGUAAACAUAAAUUUGUGCAGUAUUGAAAAAGGACAAAUUUGAUUGCAGCAACUCGUUCUUCACGUAUUCUAAUAUGGUCUGACUGAUAAUAAAUGCCUGUAGCUAUGUCGCCGACAAGAUUGGCCGACUGUGCUCUGGCAAAAACAGUGAGAAGGAUGUAAAGCCAAUUUCUGAACGGCAGUGUGUGCUCAGCAAUGGUGUUGGGCAACAGCCAGUUGAAAAGGCUCCUCAUCCAGACUCGCCUCCUCCACCAUACCAACUCCCGUCAUCACAACCUCCGGCUUACCAGACAUAAUAUCAACUAAAGAUGGUCAAAUUAUAAAAUUCAUUGCAAAUUAGCGAAAAACUUUUUUUGAAAAAAAACUGAAUGUAAAAGAUGAAAUAUAUUGAAUAUUUGGUAUUAUAAAGAAACCAGACUUUUGGACAUGCAGUAACAAUUCAUCAUAAUGAAAGAACAUGGCUGCACUUAGUAUUUGGGUUCUUUUUUAGUCAAAAUAAUUAGAAAGAAAACUGCUUAUUUGAUUGUAAUUAAAUGCUGAUAAUUUAAUAAAAAUGUUAUUUGUUUAUGACAUUUUUUAAAACAGAAAUAUUAAAUAAUUUAAAAAAAGUCUUGGCCAAUAAUUAUUAAAGACGCAUGUACAAGUGAAAAUAUAAAUGUUUGUUAUCUGCUGUUAAAUACAUUUAGUAUACUCAGGGUAUAAACUAAUUGUGAAAUUGACAAGUCAUGCAAAAAAAUAAAUCAGGGAACAAAAUUAAAGUUGAUUUGAUUUUACAUUUGCUGGCAAUUGUUUUUUAUUAUCGUUUCAUUUUUCAUUGUUUUCAUAUCAUUUGAUAUAUGUUUAAAUUUACUAACCAUGUUUGUUUUUAUUAAAGAAUUUUAUCUGUUUUACUGAGUAUGUUAAAUGAUAACCCUAUAAUUAAAAUCUAAAAUGACAAGACAAUGCUGUCAAAAUAGCAAAGUAAUGUUUCAAAUCUAAAAACUGCAUUUGUUUUAAGCUGAAUUUUUUACAUUCCAGAAUUUAAUAGAAUUUUAGGCAUUUGAGUGUUGUUUUACUCAUCCAUAUGUUCCUACCGCUUAUAAGUCGGGGGGUCUUAAAAAAGAUAUUAAAAGGAUAUUUGUCAUUGCCUUGCUCUUCUGAACAGUGGUUUUUUUUGUGUAAAAUUAUAUUUUAAUUUUAGAUUCCUUGAUUAUACAGUGUAUGAAACAAUUAUUCUAAAAUGUUCAAAAGCAGCAGAAUAGUUGUGGAGGGGAUUUUUUCUGUAUUUUCAAUGUUAUGGUUAUAAAAUACUCAGUAAUAACAGCUUUUUAUACUUAUAUAAUUUAUUAUAUGAAAUAUUUUGUAACAUAUCAAAGUAGAUACAUCUUUUUAUCUUUUAAAAGCAUUUUUAAAAAGAUUUAAUUUACAAUACAUGCACUUUUUUCUUUUAACAAUGUGAAUUUAAUGAGGGUUGCAAUUUGUUUUUUAAUAUUAGCCAUUUGUGGUUUUUAAUUGAAUUUAGUUGAAAAUAUUAGGAACGUUCACAUUAGCUGCAUUACACAUUAGAGAUUUUGUUUCAAUAAUACUAAAUUUAAAGAAAAUAUGAGUGUUUCAGUUAUUCCUAAUGACAUAAAACAUCCAUUUUAAUUAAUUAGCAAUUUGUUGUAAAAGCACUACACAUAAGAGAUUUUGUUGUAACAUGAAAGUUCCAGUGGAAUAUUUUGUUUUUGUUUUUUUUUUAUUUCAGAUUUUCUGUAAAACAAUAAAAUUGUUGUUUUAAACCUCA